UGGCAGUUGAUUGGCUGGUGCAGGCCGCUAAGCAGGGACGGAAGAGUGCAGCCCGUCUUCUACAGCGCUGCUGGAUCCAGAGGACAGGUAUCGGUGAGGAUAAUGAGGAGGAGGUGCGUCGUCUGUCGACAGAGAGCAGGUUUGAGCAGACGGUUCGGAAGGCGGCCAUGAUGAUGUUCAGGAAGCUGAACCCGACAGGAAGGAGAAGAUGGCGGUGUCUGAGAUGAUGGAGAACGUUGGACAGGUCAACGCUGCGCACGGUGGCGCCACCACGGACCAAACCCAGAAAGUCCUGGAGAACAUGGUCACUG
Molecule: long non-coding RNA, 311 nt
Organism: Oncorhynchus tshawytscha (Chinook salmon)
Lineage: Eukaryota; Metazoa; Chordata; Actinopteri; Salmoniformes; Salmonidae
Exons: 3
Source: RefSeq, a predicted model, not a curated record